This 497-nucleotide ribosomal RNA is filed under the name uncultured bacterium. Its description in RNAcentral is "partial 16S ribosomal RNA". It matches the Rfam family "Bacterial small subunit ribosomal RNA", at positions 28 to 507 of the family's 1533-position model. The record is from RNAcentral.
GAUGAACGCUGGCGGCGUGCCUAAUACAUGCAAGUCGAGCGAACGGACGAGAAGCUUGCUUCUCUGAUGUUAGCGGCGGACGGGUGAGUAACACGUGGAUAACCUACCUAUAAGACUGGGAUAACUUCGGGAAACCGGAGCUAAUACCGGCUAAUAUUUUGAACCGCAUGGUUCAAAAGUGAAAGACGGUCUUGCUGUCUCUUAUAGAUGGAUCCGCGCUGCAUUAGCUAGUUGGUAAGGUAACGGCUUACCAAGGCAACGAUGCGUAGCCGACCUGAGAGGGUGAUCGGCCACACUGGAACUGAGACACGGUCCAGACUCCUACGGGAGGCAGCAGUAGGGAAUCUUCCGCAAUGGGCGAAAGCCUGACGGAGCAAUGCCGCGUGAGUGAUGAAGGUCUUCGGAUCGUAAAACUCUGUUAUUAGGGAAGAACAUAUGUGUAAGUAACUGUGCACAUCUUGACGGUACCUAAUCAGAAAGCCACGGCUAACUACGUG